Molecule: long non-coding RNA, 475 nt
Filed under: Homo sapiens (human)
Lineage: Eukaryota; Metazoa; Chordata; Mammalia; Primates; Hominidae
Description: non-protein coding lnc-USP20-1:1
Source: RNAcentral
GAAGACUAUGAAACUAUUAUACAUAUUUGAAGUAUAGUUAUAGGUUAUGUUAGUUACUUUUAAUAAAUUUAAUGAUUAGUUUGACUGUUGACUAGGCAUAUACAAUUAAGUAGAAACGACACAAAACACUGAGUGAAUAAUUCUAAAAAGGCUUAGGAGGCUCUUUUCACUGUCCAUGAAAUCAUCUUGUGGCCUCUUGAAUCAGCUAUGCACAAGGCACCAACAUAUCUACGUCGCACCAUAAAGAUUCCACAGUCUUCCAUUCCCACAGGUGGCCUCAAACCUGGGCUCCCAGAUUUUUUCAUCUACUUCUAUGGUUCUCUAAUAGCAACAUUUUUCAACUAUUAAUUUACUUUUAUUCAAAAUGAUCCAACAGACACCCCCCAAGAUUUAAUAUUUACGUUCAUAUAUAUAUAUUUGGAGACAGAGUCUUGCUCUGUCACCCAGGCUGGAAGUCCAGUGGUAUAAUCUCGGC